GAUGAACGCUGGCGGCAUGCCUAAGACAUGCAAGUCGAACGAGGUGGCCUUUUGAAAACGGAGUGCUUGCACAAAGUUGGAUAGAGAUUUUCCACCUAGUGGCAGACGGGUGAGUAACACGUAAGUAAUCUACCGUAGAGACUGGGAUAACGUUUGGAAACGAACGCUAAUACCGGAUAAUUCAUAUUUAGAUAACUAGAUAUGCUGAAAGGAGCUUCGGCUUCACUUUACGAUGAGCUUGCGGCGUAUUAACUAGUUGGUGGGGUAAUGGCCUACCAAGGUGACGAUGCGUAGCCGAACUGAGAGGUUGAUCGGCCACAUUGGGACUGAGACACGGCCCAA
This 342-nucleotide ribosomal RNA is filed under the name uncultured bacterium. RNAcentral describes it as "bacterial SSU rRNA". It matches the Rfam family "Bacterial small subunit ribosomal RNA", at positions 28 to 334 of the family's 1533-position model. The record is from RNAcentral.